RNAcentral lists this transfer RNA (73 nucleotides) under Myotis brandtii (Brandt's bat). It matches the Rfam family "tRNA". Rfam says of the family: Transfer RNA (tRNA) molecules are approximately 80 nucleotides in length. Their secondary structure includes four short double-helical elements and three loops (D, anti-codon, and T loops). Lineage: Eukaryota; Metazoa; Chordata; Mammalia; Chiroptera; Vespertilionidae. The record is from Rfam by way of RNAcentral.
GCUGGUUUGGCUCAGUGGACAGAGCAUCAGUCCGAGGACUGAAGGGUCCUGGGUUCAAUUCCAGGCAAGGGCA